GUCCUUCCGCCUUCUGCCAUGGGAUGACACAGCAAGAAACCCCUUGGCAGAUGUGGGCCUCUCGACCUUGGACUUCUCAGCUUCCAGAACUAGGAGCCAUUGAAGAAUCCUGUUGUCCUAUCCCAGAAGGAUCAAGGGGACAACACUGAUAUCCUGACCGCUGACCAUCCACCACCACUUAAAGCCACACUCUCCUCUUUGGUCUUUCCUGGUACACAGCAUACAAGCCCACAGAUUGAGGACUCUGCACUUGCUGUUCUCUCUGCCUGGAGCUCUAUGGCUCCAGAUAGACUCCUGCCAACUCCUUCGCCUUGUUCAGGUUACCUUCAUUAAAUGUCAGCUUAAAUGUGUGCCUACUUUUUGCCCUACCUGGAAUUGCAAGCACCUCUCACCACUGUGCUCCCAUUCUCCUUAACUUAAGCCACUUUUAUUUUCAUAAUAAAGCCACAUAUUUUUUCUUAUUAUAUCAUAAUCACACUGUAUAAUUUAUAUUUUAUUACUUUUGUUUGUAUACUUAUUCUAUGUUUCUGUUCACAAGGAUGUAAACCCCAUGAACACAGAGAUCUUUGAUUGUUUUAUUAACUGAUUUAUGCCAAAUGUUUGGAACAAUGCCUGGCACACAGCAGAUGUUUGAUAAAUAUUUUUUUUCUGAAUGAAUAAAUACGUUUUAGCCAAAUAUGCUGA
Molecule: long non-coding RNA, 684 nt
Filed under: Pongo abelii (Sumatran orangutan)
Lineage: Eukaryota; Metazoa; Chordata; Mammalia; Primates; Hominidae
Description: lincRNA
Source: RNAcentral